Molecule: ribosomal RNA, 486 nt
Filed under: uncultured bacterium
Lineage: Bacteria
Description: partial 16S ribosomal RNA
Rfam family: Bacterial small subunit ribosomal RNA
Source: RNAcentral
GAUGAACGCUGGCGGCGUGCCUAAUACAUGCAAGUCGAACGCUGGAGAUCUAGCUUGCUAGAUCGAAGGAGUGGCGAACGGGUGGGUAAUACAUAAGCAACAUACCCACGAAGACUGGGAUAAUCUCUGGAAACGGGGACUAAUACCGGAAAGGUAAUCGGAAGGCAUCUGCUGGUUAUUAAAGGAUAAAAUCACUGGUGGAUGGACAUAUGGCGCAUUCGUUAGAUGGUGAGGUAACGGCCCACCAAGACGAUGAUGCGUAGCCGGCCUGAGAGGGUGAACGGCCACAUUGGGACUGCGACACGGCCCAGACUCCUACGCGAGGCAGCAGUAGGGUAUUCUCGGCACGGGGGGCAACCCUGACCGAGCCACGCCGCGUGAGUGAAGCCGGCCUUCGGGUUGUAAAGCUCUGUUGGAAGGGAAGAACGGUAGAUAGAGAAUAUCUAAGUGACGGUACCUUACCAGAAAGCCACGGCUAACUACGUG